GGCGUAGGGGGCGAGCGUUGUCCGGAAUUACUGGGCGUAAAGAGCACGUAGGCGGGAACUUAAGUCAGGUGUGAAAGACCGGGGCUCAACCUCGGGUAUGCACUUGAAACUGGGUUUCUUGAGGGCAGGAGAGGAAAGCAGAAUUCCUGGUGUAGCGGUGAAAUGCGUAGAAAUCAGGAGGAAUACCAGUGGCGAAGGCGGCUUUCUGGACUGACCCUGACGCUGAGGUGCGAAAGCGUGGGUAGCAAACAGGAUUAGAGACCCUGGUAGUCCACGCCGUAAACGAUGGAUACUAGGUGUGGGAGGUAUCGACCCCUUCCGUGCCGCAGCUAACGCAAUAAGUAUCCCGCCUGGGGAGUACGGUCGCAAGGCUGAA
Molecule: ribosomal RNA, 376 nt
Filed under: uncultured bacterium
Lineage: Bacteria
Description: bacterial SSU rRNA
Rfam family: Bacterial small subunit ribosomal RNA
Source: RNAcentral